AUUGAACGUUUGCGGCAUGCCUUACACAUGCAAGUCGAACGGCAGCACGGAGCUUGCUCUGGUGGCGAGUGGCGAACGGGUGAGUAAUAUAUCGGAACGUACCCUGGAGUGGGGGAUAACGUAGCGAAAGUUACGCUAAUACCGCAUACGAUCUAAGGAUGAAAGUGGGGGACUCGCAAGAGCCUCAUGCUCGUGGAGCGGCCGAUAUCUGAUUAGCUAGUUGGUAGGGUAAAAGCCUACCAAGGCAUCGAUCAGUAGCUGGUCUGAGAGGACGACCAGCCACACUGGAACUGAGACACGGUCCAGACUCCUACGGGAGGCAGCAGUGGGGAAUUUUGGACAAUGGGCGCAAGCCUGAUCCAGCAAUGCCGCGUGAGUGAAGAAGGCCUUCGGGUUGUAAAGCUCUUUUGUCAGGGAAGAAACGGUGAGAGCUAAUAUCUUUUGCUAAUGACGGUACCUGAAGAAUAAGCACCGGCUAACUACGUGCCAGCAGCCGCGGUAAUACGUAGGGUGCAAGCGUUAAUCGGAAUUACUGGGCGUAAAGCGUGCGCAGGCGGUUUUGUAAGUCUGAUGUGAAAUCCCCGGGCUCAACCUGGGAAUUGCAUUGGAGACUGCAAGGCUAGAAUCUGGCAGAGGGGGGUAGAAUUCCACGUGUAGCAGUGAAAUGCGUAGAUAUGUGGAGGAACACCGAUGGCGAAGGCAGCCCCCUGGGUCAAGAUUGACGCUCAUGCACGAAAGCGUGGGGAGCGAACAGGAUUAGAUACCCUGGUAGUCCACGCCCUAAACGAUGUCUACUAGUUGUCGGGUCUUAAUUGACUUGGUAACGCAGCUAACGCGUGAAGUAGACCGCCUGGGGAGUACGGUCGCAAGAUUAAAACUCAAAGGAAUUGACGGGGACCCGCACAAGCGGUGGAUGAUGUGGAUUAAUUCGAUGCAACGCGAAAAACCUUACCUACCCUUGACAUGGAUGGAAUCCCGAAGAGAUUUGGGAGUGCUCGAAAGAGAACCAUUACACAGGUGCUGCAUGGCUGUCGUCAGCUCGUGUCGUGAGAUGUUGGGUUAAGUCCCGCAACGAGCGCAACCCUUGUCAUUAGUUGCUACGAAAGGGCACUCUAAUGAGACUGCCGGUGACAAACCGGAGGAAGGUGGGGAUGACGUCAAGUCCUCAUGGCCCUUAUGGGUAGGGCUUCACACGUCAUACAAUGGUACAUACAGAGCGCCGCCAACCCGCGAGGGGGAGCUAAUCGCAGAAAGUGUAUCGUAGUCCGGAUUGUAGUCUGCAACUCGACUGCAUGAAGUUGGAAUCGCUAGUAAUCGCGGAUCAGCAUGUCGCGGUGAAUACGUUCCCGGGUCU
This 1354-nucleotide ribosomal RNA is filed under the name uncultured bacterium. RNAcentral's name for it is "bacterial SSU rRNA". It matches the Rfam family "Bacterial small subunit ribosomal RNA", at positions 28 to 1381 of the family's 1533-position model. The record is from RNAcentral.